UGGGGAAUAUUGGACAAUGGGGGCAACCCUGAUCCAGCAAUGCCGCGUGGGUGAAGAAGGUUUUCGGAUUGUAAAGCCCUUUUGGCGGGGACGAUGAUGACGGUACCCGCAGAAUAAGCUCCGGCUAACUUCGUGCCAGCAGCCGCGGUAAUACGAAGGGGGCUAGCGUUGCUCGGAAUGACUGGGCGUAAAGGGCGCGUAGGCGGCUUGUAUAGUUAGGCGUGAAAUUCCUGGGCUCAACCUGGGGACUGCGUCUAAUACAUGCAGGCUUGAGUGUGAAAGAGGGUCGUGGAAUUUCCAGUGUAGAGGUGAAAUUCGUAGAUAUUGGAAAGAACACCGGUGGCGAAGGCGGCGACCUGGUUCAUUACUGACGCUGAGGCGCGAAAGCGUGGGGAGCAAACAGG
RNAcentral lists this ribosomal RNA (404 nucleotides) under uncultured bacterium. RNAcentral's name for it is "bacterial SSU rRNA". It matches the Rfam family "Bacterial small subunit ribosomal RNA", at positions 355 to 776 of the family's 1533-position model. The record is from RNAcentral.